This 526-nucleotide ribosomal RNA is filed under the name uncultured bacterium. RNAcentral describes it as "bacterial SSU rRNA". It matches the Rfam family "Bacterial small subunit ribosomal RNA", at positions 355 to 895 of the family's 1533-position model. The record is from RNAcentral.
UGGGGAAUCUUGCACAAUGGGCGAAAGCCUGAUGCAGCAACGCCGCGUGCGGGAAGACAGCCCUAGGGUUGUAAACCGCUUUCAGCAGGGAAGAAACUGACGGUACCUGCAGAAGAAGAUGCGGCCAACUACGUGCCAGCAGCCGCGGUGACACGUAGGCAUCAAGCGUUAUCCGGAUUUAUUGGGCGUAAAGAGCUCGUAGGCGGUUCGGUAAGUCGGGUGUGAAAACUCUGGGCUCAACCCAGAGAGGCCACUCGAUACUGCUGUGACUAGAGUGCGGUAGGGGAGCGGGGAAUUCCUGGUGUAGCGGUGAAAUGCGCAGAUAUCAGGAGGAACACCAGUGGCGAAGGCGCCGCUCUGGGCCGUAACUGACGCUGAGGAGCGAAAGCAUGGGUAGCAAACAGGAUUAGAUACCCUGGUAGUCCAUGCCGUAAAACGUUGGGCACUAGGUGUGGGUCUCAACCGAACGAGAUCCGCGCCGUCGCUAACGCAUUAAGUGCCCGCCUGGGAGUACGGUCGCAAGAUU